GGCGAACUGAAGGCCCUGCUCGAAAGUGGGGUAGAGGCUGAUGAAGGUGAUAUCCGGCGUAGCUGGCGCGAUCUCACGCCCGCGGAUCUUCACCUCGAUCUCCCACCGUGGCUGCCAUCCCUCGGGUGCGGCGGUCUCGACUCAGCCUCUGAACCUGGGUGGUGGCAGGUCGAGGAAAGCACACAGUGCCGCCAAAGGGGCACUGAACAGCUGGUCCGUGGAGGGGUAGUAGACUCUGGUGAACGGCGGUACAUUGCCGAACGGUGUUGGGCUUCCCAUCUAUAGAAGAUAAAGAAGGAGAUAAGGGAGUAUCAGUGACAUGUUCAAAUGGUCAGAUGUAUGAAGGAAAAAUAAAAUAAGGUAAAUGUAGUAAAGUCAGAAUGAAGUAAUAAACAAUAUUGUUAGGGUGGAAAUGUCAAUAUAAAAUUGGAUGCAUAAUAUUAUGUGGGUAACAUGGCAACAUGAUUAUGAUGG
RNAcentral lists this long non-coding RNA (474 nucleotides) under Brachypodium distachyon (stiff brome). RNAcentral's name for it is "long non-coding RNA (BDIS_LNC004727)". The record is from RNAcentral. Lineage: Eukaryota; Viridiplantae; Streptophyta; Magnoliopsida; Poales; Poaceae.